AGAGUUUGAUCAUGGCUCAGGAUGAACGCUAGCGGCAGGCCUAAUACAUGCAAGUCGAACGGUAACAUUGGUGCUUGCACCAGAUGACGAGUGGCGCACGGGUGCGUAACGCGUAUGCAAUCUACCUUUUACUAGAGUAUAGCCCAGAGAAAUUUGGAUUAAUCCACUAUAAUAUCUUUUAAUUUCAUGAUUUUAAGAUUAAAGUUUUAACGGUAAAAGAUGAGCAUGCGUCCUAUUAGUUUGUAGGUGAGGUAACGGCUCACCUAGACUACGAUAGGUAGGGGCCCUGAGAGGGGGAUCCCCCACACUGGUACUGAGACACGGACCAGACUCCUACGGGAGGCAGCAGUAAGGAAUAUUGGACAAUGGACGAAAGUCUGAUCCAGCCAUGCCGCGUGCAGGAUGAAAGCCCUACGGGUUGUAAACUGCUUUUAUACAGGAAGAAACACUCCGACGUGUCGGAGCUUGACGGUACUGUAAGAAUAAGGAUCGGCUAACUCCGUGCCAGCAGCCGCGGUAAUACGGAGGAUCCAAGCGUUAUCCGGAAUCAUUGGGUUUAAAGGGUCCGCAGGCUGUUUUUUAAGUCAGAGGUGAAAUCCUACAGCUCAACUGUAGAACUGCCUUUGAUACUGAAAAACUUGAGUUAUUGUGAAGUGGGUUANAAUGUGUGGUGUACCGGUGAAAUGCAUANAUNUCNCNCAGAAUACCGAUUGCGAAGGCA
Molecule: ribosomal RNA, 721 nt
Filed under: uncultured Bacteroidota bacterium
Lineage: Bacteria; Pseudomonadati; Bacteroidota
Description: bacterial SSU rRNA
Rfam family: Bacterial small subunit ribosomal RNA
Source: RNAcentral